UACGUAGGCAGCAAGCGUUGUUCGGAAUUACUGGGCGUAAAGAGCGUGUAGGCGGUGCUCUAAGUUCGGUGUGAAAUCUCCCGGCUUAACUGGGAGGGUGCGCCGGAAACUGGAGUGCUUGAGCGCGGGAGAGGAAAGCGGAAUUCCUGGUGUAGCGGUGAAAUGCGUAGAUAUCAGGAGGAACACCUGUGGUGUAGACGGCUUUCUGGACCGUAACUGACGCUGAGACACGAAAGCGUGGGGAUCAAACAGG
This 253-nucleotide ribosomal RNA is filed under the name uncultured bacterium. RNAcentral describes it as "partial 16S ribosomal RNA". It matches the Rfam family "Bacterial small subunit ribosomal RNA", at positions 524 to 776 of the family's 1533-position model. The record is from RNAcentral.